Molecule: ribosomal RNA, 253 nt
Filed under: uncultured bacterium
Lineage: Bacteria
Description: partial 16S ribosomal RNA
Rfam family: Bacterial small subunit ribosomal RNA
Source: RNAcentral
GACGAACCGUCCAAACGUUAUUCGGAAUCACUGGGCUUAAAGGGUGCGUAGGCGGCCCUGUAAGUUGGGUGUGAAAUCCCUCGGCUCAACCGAGGAACUGCGCUCAAAACUACAGGGCUUGAGGGAGACAGAGGUGAGCGGAACUUGCGGUGGAGCGGUGAAAUGCGUUGAUAUCGCAAGGAACACCAGGGGCGAAAGCGGCUCACUGGGUCUCUUCUGACGCUGAGGCACGAAAGCUAGGGGGGCGAACGGG